RNAcentral lists this ribosomal RNA (301 nucleotides) under uncultured bacterium. RNAcentral's name for it is "partial 16S ribosomal RNA". It matches the Rfam family "Bacterial small subunit ribosomal RNA", at positions 509 to 807 of the family's 1533-position model. The record is from RNAcentral.
CAGUAGCCGCGGUAACACGGAGGGUGCAAGCGUUAAUCGGAAUUACUGGGCGUAAAGCGCACGCAGGCGGUCUGUCAAGUCAGAUGUGAAAUCCCCGGGCUUAACCUGGGAACUGCAUUUGAAACUGGCAGGCUAGAGUCUUGUAGAGGGGGGUAGAAUUCCAGGUGUAGCGGUGAAAUGCGUAGAGAUCUGGAGGAAUACCGGUGGCGAAGGCGGCCCCCUGGACAAAGACUGACGCUCAGGUGCGAAAGCGUGGGGAGCAAACAGGAUUAGAUACCCGUGUAGUCCCUGUCUCUUAUAC